GACGAACGCUGGCGGCGUGCCUAAUACAUGCAAGUAGAACGCUGAAGGAGGAGCUUGCUUCUCUGGAUGAGUUGCGAACGGGUGAGUAACGCGUAGGUAACCUGCCUGGUAGCGGGGGAUAACUAUUGGAAACGAUAGCUAAUACCGCAUAAUAGUAGAUGUUGCAUGACAUUUGCUUAAAAGGUGCAAUUGCAUCACUACCAGAUGGACCUGCGUUGUAUUAGCUAGUUGGUGGGGUAACGGCUCACCAAGGCGACGAUACAUAGCCGACCUGAGAGGGUGAUCGGCCACACUGGGACUGAGACACGGCCCAGACUCCUACGGGAGGCAGCAGUAGGGAAUCUGCGGCAAUGGACGGAAGUCUGACCGAGCAACGCCGCGUGAGUGAAGAAGGUUUUCGGAUCGUAAAGCUCUGUUGUAAGAGAAGAACGAGUGUGAGAGUGGAAAGUUCACACUGUGACGGUAUCUUACCAGAAAGAGACGGCUAACUACGUG
RNAcentral lists this ribosomal RNA (495 nucleotides) under uncultured bacterium. RNAcentral describes it as "partial 16S ribosomal RNA". It matches the Rfam family "Bacterial small subunit ribosomal RNA", at positions 28 to 507 of the family's 1533-position model. The record is from RNAcentral.